CCUACGGGUGGCAGCAGUGGGGAAUAUUGGACAAUGGGCGAAAGCCUGAUCCAGCCAUGCCGCGUGUGUGAAGAAGGCCUUCGGGUUGUAAAGCACUUUCAGUGGGGAAGAAAGCCUUGGGGCUAAUACCCUCGAGGAAGGACAUCACCCACAGAAGAAGCACCGGCUAACUCCGUGCCAGCAGCCGCGGUAAUACGGAGGGUGCGAGCGUUAAUCGGAAUUACUGGGCGUAAAGCGCGCGUAGGCGGUCUGAUAAGCCGGUUGUGAAAGCCCCGGGCUCAACCUGGGAACGGCAUCCGGAACUGUCAGGCUAGAGGGCAGGAGAGGAAGGUAGAAUUGCCGGGGUAGGGUUGAAAGGCGUAGAGAUCGGGAGGAAGACCAGUGGAGAAGGAGGUCUUUUGGACUGACAUGGACGCUGAGGUGCGAAAGCGUGGGUAGCAAACAGGAUUAGAUACCCGAGUAGU
Molecule: ribosomal RNA, 464 nt
Filed under: Vreelandella stevensii
Lineage: Bacteria; Pseudomonadati; Pseudomonadota; Gammaproteobacteria; Oceanospirillales; Halomonadaceae
Description: partial 16S ribosomal RNA
Rfam family: Bacterial small subunit ribosomal RNA
Source: RNAcentral